This 333-nucleotide ribosomal RNA is filed under the name uncultured bacterium. RNAcentral's name for it is "bacterial SSU rRNA". It matches the Rfam family "Bacterial small subunit ribosomal RNA", at positions 473 to 793 of the family's 1533-position model. The record is from RNAcentral.
CGUUAGCGACACGAAGAAGACACCGGCUAACUACCGUGCCAGCAGCCGCGGUAAUACGGACGGGUGCGAGCGUUAAUCGGAAGUUACUGGGCGUAAAGACGCAUGCAGGUGGUUUGUUAAGUCAGAUGUGAAAGCCCGGGGCUCAACCUCGGAAUAGCAUUUGUAAACUAGGCAGACUAGAGUACUGUAGAGGGGGGUAGGAAGUUUCAGGUGUAGCGGUGAAAUGCGUAGAGAUCUGAAGGAAUACCGGUGGCGAAGGCGGCCCCCUCGGACAGAUACUGACACUCAGAUGCGAAAGCGUGGGGAGCAAACAGGAUUAGAUACCCCUGGUAG